Molecule: ribosomal RNA, 2773 nt
Filed under: Klebsiella variicola
Lineage: Bacteria; Pseudomonadati; Pseudomonadota; Gammaproteobacteria; Enterobacterales; Enterobacteriaceae
Description: bacterial LSU rRNA
Rfam family: Bacterial large subunit ribosomal RNA
Source: RNAcentral
AGCGUACACGGUGGAUGCCCUGGCAGUCAGAGGCGAUGAAGGACGUGCUAAUCUGCGAAAAGCGUCGGUAAGGUGAUAUGAACCGUUAUAACCGGCGAUGUCCGAAUGGGGAAACCCAGUGUGAUUCGUCACACUAUCGUUAACUGAAUACAUAGGUUAACGAGGCGAACCGGGGGAACUGAAACAUCUAAGUACCCCGAGGAAAAGAAAUCAACCGAGAUUCCCCCAGUAGCGGCGAGCGAACGGGGAGCAGCCCAGAGUCUGAAUCAGCUUGUGUGUUAGUGGAACGGUCUGGAAAGUCCGACGGUACAGGGUGAUAGUCCCGUACACCAAAAUGCACAGGUUGUGAACUCGAAGAGUAGGGCGGGACACGUGGUAUCCUGUCUGAAUAUGGGGGGACCAUCCUCCAAGGCUAAAUACUCCUGACUGACCGAUAGUGAACCAGUACCGUGAGGGAAAGGCGAAAAGAACCCCGGCGAGGGGAGUGAAAAAGAACCUGAAACCGUGUACGUACAAGCAGUGGGAGCACCUUCGGGUGUGACUGCGUACCUUUUGUAUAAUGGGUCAGCGACUUAUAUUCUGUAGCAAGGUUAACCGUAUAGGGGAGCCGCAGGGAAACCGAGUCUUAACUGGGCGUUAAGUUGCAGGGUAUAGACCCGAAACCCGGUGAUCUAGCCAUGGGCAGGUUGAAGGUUGGGUAACACUAACUGGAGGACCGAACCGACUAAUGUUGAAAAAUUAGCGGAUGACUUGUGGCUGGGGGUGAAAGGCCAAUCAAACCGGGAGAUAGCUGGUUCUCCCCGAAAGCUAUUUAGGUAGCGCCUCGUGAAUUCAUCUUCGGGGGUAGAGCACUGUUUCGGCUAGGGGGUCAUCCCGACUUACCAACCCGAUGCAAACUACGAAUACCGAAGAAUGUUAUCACGGGAGACACACGGCGGGUGCUAACGUCCGUCGUGAAGAGGGAAACAACCCAGACCGCCAGCUAAGGUCCCAAAGUCAUGGUUAAGUGGGAAACGAUGUGGGAAGGCACAGACAGCCAGGAUGUUGGCUUAGAAGCAGCCAUCAUUUAAAGAAAGCGUAAUAGCUCACUGGUCGAGUCGGCCUGCGCGGAAGAUGUAACGGGGCUAAACCAUGCACCGAAGCUGCGGCAGCGACACUAUGUGUUGUUGGGUAGGGGAGCGUUCUGUAAGCCUGCGAAGGUGGCCUGUGAGGGUUGCUGGAGGUAUCAGAAGUGCGAAUGCUGACAUAAGUAACGAUAAAGCGGGUGAAAAGCCCGCUCGCCGGAAGACCAAGGGUUCCUGUCCAACGUUAAUCGGGGCAGGGUGAGUCGACCCCUAAGGCGAGGCCGAAAGGCGUAGUCGAUGGGAAACAGGUUAAUAUUCCUGUACUUGGUGUUACUGCGAAGGGGGGACGGAGAAGGCUAUGUUAGCCGGGCGACGGUUGUCCCGGUUUAAGCAUGUAGGCGGAGGUUCCAGGUAAAUCCGGUACCUUUUAACGCUGAGGUGUGAUGACGAGGCACUACGGUGCUGAAGUAACAAAUGCCCUGCUUCCAGGAAAAGCCUCUAAGCAUCAGGUAACAUUAAAUCGUACCCCAAACCGACACAGGUGGUCAGGUAGAGAAUACCAAGGCGCUUGAGAGAACUCGGGUGAAGGAACUAGGCAAAAUGGUGCCGUAACUUCGGGAGAAGGCACGCUGGUGUGUAGGUGAAGUCCCUGCGGAUGGAGCUGAGACCAGUCGAAGAUACCAGCUGGCUGCAACUGUUUAUUAAAAACACAGCACUGUGCAAACACGAAAGUGGACGUAUACGGUGUGACGCCUGCCCGGUGCCGGAAGGUUAAUUGAUGGGGUUAUCCGUAAGGAGAAGCUCUUGAUCGAAGCCCCGGUAAACGGCGGCCGUAACUAUAACGGUCCUAAGGUAGCGAAAUUCCUUGUCGGGUAAGUUCCGACCUGCACGAAUGGCGUAAUGAUGGCCAGGCUGUCUCCACCCGAGACUCAGUGAAAUUGAACUCGCUGUGAAGAUGCAGUGUACCCGCGGCAAGACGGAAAGACCCCGUGAACCUUUACUAUAGCUUGACACUGAACAUUGAGCCUUGAUGUGUAGGAUAGGUGGGAGGCUUUGAAGCGUGGACGCCAGUCUGCGUGGAGCCAACCUUGAAAUACCACCCUUUAAUGUUUGAUGUUCUAACGUUGGCCCCUUAUCGGGGUUGCGGACAGUGUCUGGUGGGUAGUUUGACUGGGGCGGUCUCCUCCCAAAGAGUAACGGAGGAGCACGAAGGUUAGCUAAUCCUGGUCGGACAUCAGGAGGUUAGUGCAAUGGCAUAAGCUAGCUUGACUGCGAGCGUGACGGCGCGAGCAGGUGCGAAAGCAGGUCAUAGUGAUCCGGUGGUUCUGAAUGGAAGGGCCAUCGCUCAACGGAUAAAAGGUACUCCGGGGAUAACAGGCUGAUACCGCCCAAGAGUUCAUAUCGACGGCGGUGUUUGGCACCUCGAUGUCGGCUCAUCACAUCCUGGGGCUGAAGUAGGUCCCAAGGGUAUGGCUGUUCGCCAUUUAAAGUGGUACGCGAGCUGGGUUUAGAACGUCGUGAGACAGUUCGGUCCCUAUCUGCCGUGGGCGCUGGAGAAUUGAGGGGGGCUGCUCCUAGUACGAGAGGACCGGAGUGGACGCAUCACUGGUGUUCGGGUUGUCAUGCCAAUGGCACUGCCCGGUAGCUAAAUGCGGAAGAGAUAAGUGCUGAAAGCAUCUAAGCACGAAACUUGCCCCGAGAUGAGUUCU